CAAUAGCGUAUAUUAAAGUUGUUGCGGUUAAAAGCUCGUAGUUGGAUUUCUGCCGAGGAAGACCGGUCCGCCCUCUGGGUGAGUAUCUGGCUCUGCCUGGGCAUCUUCUUGGAGAACGUAGCUGCACUUGACUGUGUGGUGCGGUAUCCAGGACUUUUACUUUGAGGAAAUUAGAGUGUUUCAAGCAGGCAUACGCCUUGAAUACAUUAGCAUGGAAUAAUAAGAUAGGACCUCGGUUCUAUUUUGUUGGUUUGUUGAACUAGAGUAAUCACAAUAAGGAUAGUUGGGGGUAUUCGUAUUUAACUGUCAGAGGUGAAAUUCUUGGAUUUUUUAAAGACGAACAAUUGCGAAGGCAUCUACCCAGGAUGUUUUUGUUGAUCAAGAACGAAAGUUAGGGGAUCGAAGACGAUCAGAUACCGU
RNAcentral lists this ribosomal RNA (420 nucleotides) under uncultured eukaryote. RNAcentral describes it as "SSU rRNA". It matches the Rfam family "Eukaryotic small subunit ribosomal RNA", at positions 592 to 1018 of the family's 1831-position model. The record is from RNAcentral.